RNAcentral lists this microRNA precursor (136 nucleotides) under Arabidopsis lyrata. Its description in RNAcentral is "miR4224 stem-loop (aly-MIR4224)". Lineage: Eukaryota; Viridiplantae; Streptophyta; Magnoliopsida; Brassicales; Brassicaceae. The record is from miRBase by way of RNAcentral.
AAAGGUUUUUUUCGGGACAGAGAUGAGAAAGACUCAGCUAUUUGUUGAAAAUGAAAUAUCUGUGAAGCGAAAAACCUUUUUUUUUAUUCAACAAACAACUGAGCUUCCUCAUCUCUGUCACAAUAAGAGAUCUAUG